Labrus bergylta (ballan wrasse) is the source of this 535-nucleotide non-coding RNA. The record is from RefSeq and is a predicted model, not a curated record. Lineage: Eukaryota; Metazoa; Chordata; Actinopteri; Labriformes; Labridae.
AAGGAGAACAAAGGGGAGGGAAGGGGAGGAUGGUGAUGAAAGUUAGAAUUUCCUGAUUCUUCUGCUGUGACUGACACCAACUCUGCAGGACUUCAGCUCAGCAUACAUGCUGCUUCAGUCAAACAGCCUCUGGCGUUGUUGCCAUGACGUCGGGAUGGGGGCGGAGCUAUGGGGCGGAGCGAGCAUCAAAACAGGAAGUUGUUGCUGGGACAGAAUCUAUGAAUGGCAGCCUACCUGGGAUGGCCAGGUGGUACAGCGGGAUGUCCCACAGAGCACAGGGCAGGUGACACAUCCAGCUCUCCAUGGGCAGCUCUCCCAGACUCAGCUUCCUCGCUCCGGACAAAACCACCGAGGAGGACAUGCUGAGCUUCAGCGCCUGCAGCCCGCCAGUGAACACACAUUUAACAGUAUAAUGCUGCUGCAGAGUAACACGGGGACUAGAUUGGAUUCAUUAUGUGCAGAAAAAACUUGAGCAUUGUGUUCACACACAGCACAGUGGGAAAUGUAGUCCUGUUUAUCUCAUACUUACUUGAUC